GAUGAACGCUGGCGGCGUGCCUAAUACAUGCAAGUCGAGCGAACAGACGAGGAGCUUGCUCCUCUGACGUUAGCGGCGGACGGGUGAGUAACACGUGGAUAACCUACCUAUAAGACUGGGAUAACUUCGGGAAACCGGAGCUAAUACCGGAUAAUAUAUUGAACCGCAUGGUUCAAUAGUGAAAGACGGUUUUGCUGUCACUUAUAGAUGGAUCCGCGCCGCAUUAGCUAGUUGGUAAGGUAACGGCUUACCAAGGCAACGAUGCGUAGCCGACCUGAGAGGGUGAUCGGCCACACUGGAACUGGGACACGGUCCAGACUCCUACGGGAGGCAGCAGAAGGGAAUCUUCUGCAAUAGGCGAAAGCUUGACGGAGCAACGCCGCGUGAGUGAUGAAGGUCUUCGGAUCGUAAAACUCUGUUAUUAGGGAAGAACAAAUGUGUAAGUAACUAUGCACGUCUUGACGGUACCUAAUCAGAAAGCCACGGCUAACUACGUG
RNAcentral lists this ribosomal RNA (497 nucleotides) under uncultured bacterium. RNAcentral's name for it is "partial 16S ribosomal RNA". It matches the Rfam family "Bacterial small subunit ribosomal RNA", at positions 28 to 507 of the family's 1533-position model. The record is from RNAcentral.